GAGUAUAGGCUGGUAGAGGUGAGAAGGGGAAGAGUAUAGGCUGGUAGAGGUGAGAAGGGGAAGAGUAUAGGCUGAGUAGAGGUGAGAAGAGGGGAUGAGUAUAGGCUAGUAGAGGUGAGAAGGAGAUGAGAAUAGGCUGGUAGAGAUUGGAAAGGGGAUGAGUAUAGGUUGGUAGAGGUGAAGAGGGGAUGAGUAUAGGCUGGUAGAGGUGAGAGAAGGGGAUGAGUAUAGGCUGGUAGAGGUGAGAAAGGAUGAUGGUAUAGGCUGGUGAGGUGAGAAGGGGAAGAGUAUAGGCUGGUGGGGUGA
Molecule: long non-coding RNA, 306 nt
Organism: Haliotis rubra (blacklip abalone)
Lineage: Eukaryota; Metazoa; Mollusca; Gastropoda; Lepetellida; Haliotidae
Exons: 3
Source: RefSeq, a predicted model, not a curated record